RNAcentral lists this ribosomal RNA (305 nucleotides) under uncultured bacterium. RNAcentral's name for it is "bacterial SSU rRNA". It matches the Rfam family "Bacterial small subunit ribosomal RNA", at positions 335 to 657 of the family's 1533-position model. The record is from RNAcentral.
UUCCCUACGGGGGGCAGCAGUGGGGAAUAUUGCACAAUGGGGGAAACCCUGAUGCAGCGACGCCGCGUGAGUGAAGAAGUAUUUCGGUAUGUAAAGCUCUAUCAGCAGGGAAGAAAUUGACAGUACCUCAGGAGGAAGCUCCGGCUAACUAUGUGCCAGCAGCCGCGGUAAUACGUAGGGGGCAAGCGUUAUCCGGAAUUACUGGGUGUAAAGGGAGCGUAGACGGUUAAGUAAGUCUGGAGUGAAAGGCCGGGGCCCAACCCCGGGACUGCUCUGGAAACUAUUGAACUUGAGUGCAGGAGAGG